This is a long non-coding RNA of Girardinichthys multiradiatus, 961 nucleotides long. RefSeq lists it as uncharacterized. Lineage: Eukaryota; Metazoa; Chordata; Actinopteri; Cyprinodontiformes; Goodeidae. The record is from RefSeq and is a predicted model, not a curated record. The transcript is spliced from 5 exons.
ACCAGAUGUCACUAAAUAGGACUGCUCAGAGCUUCAAAGCUGCAGAAAACUUCAUUUGACCAUCACAAGUUUGAUUUUGGGCUUUGGUCACUCCUCUAGCUGUUUGUCAGAACAUUACUUCAAGUUUCCGUUUGCUGCUGAUUCUUCCCUUCUACCCUACGGUAGACUCUCGUUUUUUGCUCUUCAAAACUGCUACAUCAUCCUACACAAUUGCCAACAGAAAUCACCUGGCAGACAAUUCUGAUGGGUCCAGUGGAAUCAAUUUGUUCCACCUUGCCUCCACAUGAAAAGUGACCUGAGGUUCCAUGCCACAUUCUGUACCUACACCUGGAUAAGUAUCGUCACAAUUACCAUGACAGAUUGGUAAUUAAUUCUCUACUCUUUCCAGUCACUUGACGGUCCCUUAAAGGAUCCAGGGUCGGUGAAUUGUACAGAAGAGAGGCACCCUAAACCAAAAUGGCUACCACAGCAUUGUGCAACGCUAUGCAAUACACUCUCGUAUGUGUUCUGUUGGUCAGGGAUUCAUCCUAAAGCAAGAUAAUGACCCAAAACAUAAAUCUAAGUUAUGCCAGAACUACCUCAGGAAAAAAGAAAAAGAUGGUAAGCUUGAAAACAUGGAAUGGUCUCCAGACUUAAACCCAUCGAGCUGGUUUGGGAUGAACUGGACAUAAGAGUGAAAACAAAGCACCCUACUUCUGCAACAGAUUUGGGACGAACUUUCUGAAAAAUGUUUGAUUUUGAUUAUAGAAAGAAGGCCACGAGUGUGUUCAGCUGUUAUUUCAGCCAAAGGUGGUUUGAGUCAAAAGUUUAGAAUUCCUAUUGUUCUGUAGUGAUUCUAUGAUUUCCUUUUUAACUUAAAUUGCUUUUGUACUAUGCUUUCAUUUAAGAGUGCAAUGAAACAAUAAAAUGGAUGAUUUUCAAUAAAAAACUGAAAUAAAUGGGGUGUUUUAAAACGUUUAAA